This 502-nucleotide ribosomal RNA is filed under the name uncultured bacterium. Its description in RNAcentral is "partial 16S ribosomal RNA". It matches the Rfam family "Bacterial small subunit ribosomal RNA", at positions 30 to 523 of the family's 1533-position model. The record is from RNAcentral.
AUUGAACGCUGGCGGAAUGCUUUACACAUGCAAGUCGAACGGCAGCACGGGAGCUUGCUCCUGGUGGCGAGUGGCGAACGGGUGAGUAAUGCAUCGGAACGUACCUAUUAGUGGGGGCUAACUAUCCGAAAGGAUGGCUAAUACCGCAUACGUCCUGAGGGAGAAAGCGGGGGAUCGUAAGACCUCGCUUUAAUAGAGCGGCCGAUGUUGGAUUAGCUAGUUGGUGGGGUAAAGGCCUACCAAGGCGCCGAUCCAUAGCUGGUCUGAGAGGAUGAUCAGCAAGACUGAGAGUGGGCCACAGCCCAGACUACUACGGGGGGCAGCAGGGGGAAAUGUUAGACAAGGGGGGCAACCGUGAUUCAGCCAAUCCGCGUGAGUGUAGAAGGCCUUCGGGUUGUAAAGCUCGUACGGCAGGAACGAAACGGUAGUUACUAAUUCUAGCUACAAAUGACGGUACCUGAAGAAGAAGCACCGGCUAACUACGUGCCAGCCGCCGCGGUAA